RNAcentral lists this ribosomal RNA (464 nucleotides) under Virgibacillus salarius. RNAcentral describes it as "bacterial SSU rRNA". It matches the Rfam family "Bacterial small subunit ribosomal RNA", at positions 173 to 622 of the family's 1533-position model. The record is from RNAcentral. Lineage: Bacteria; Bacillati; Bacillota; Bacilli; Caryophanales; Bacillaceae.
UAAUACUUUUCGUUGCAUAACGAGAAGUUGAAAGGCGGCUUUUAGCUGUCACUUACAGAUGGGCCCGCGGCGCAUUAGCUAGUUGGUAAGGUAACGGCUUACCAAGGCGACGAUGCGUAGCCGACCUGAGAGGGUGAUCGGCCACACUGGGACUGAGACACGGCCCAGACUCCUACGGGAGGCAGCAGUAGGGAAUCUUCCGCAAUGGACGAAAGUCUGACGGAGCAACGCCGCGUGAGUGAUGAAGGUUUUCGGAUCGUAAAACUCUGUUGUCAGGGAAGAACAAGUGCCGUUCGAAUAGGGCGGCACCUUGACGGUACCUGACCAGAAAGCCCCGGCUAACUACGUGCCAGCAGCCGCGGUAAUACGUAGGGGGCAAGCGUUGUCCGGAAUUAUUGGGCGUAAAGCGCGCGCAGGCGGUCCUUUAAGUCUGAUGUGAAAGCCCACGGCUUAACCGUGGAGGG